GCGCCAGUAGUCUAGUGGUAUGAUGCGAGCUUGCCAAGCUUGUGGCCCGGGUUCAAUUCCCGGCUGGCGCA
This 71-nucleotide transfer RNA is filed under the name Candidatus Woesearchaeota archaeon ex4484_78. RNAcentral describes it as "tRNA-Gly". It matches the Rfam family "tRNA". Rfam says of the family: Transfer RNA (tRNA) molecules are approximately 80 nucleotides in length. Their secondary structure includes four short double-helical elements and three loops (D, anti-codon, and T loops). Lineage: Archaea; Nanobdellati; Candidatus Woesearchaeota. RNAcentral also lists the same sequence under 1 other name. The record is from RNAcentral.